GGUUUGGCGGGAAUGGGGAUGACUCUGGGAGUUUAUACAAAGACUGUUCAUUCAUUUCAUGUAACAAAUGUUUCUGGAUCCCAGACAAUAUUGAGGCCCAGCUUCAGGUCUCAGACAAUAUUGAUUCUGGAUCCCAGACAAUAUUGAAGCCCAGCUUCAGGUCUCAGUUCUGACUCUUCCCUUCCUGGCAGUCACAGGUUCUAGAGGUGAAGGUCACCAGAUUGGGCAACCUCGUGAACCACCUGAUUCCCGAACUUGAGUAAGGUUAAAAAUACUGCCUGCCAGCUGUGCCUGCUGCUGCCAAGGAAAGGAACACACAAGAUUGUGCCCUGUCAGGCCCCAGCGGACAGUGGGGCCCUGGUAGGGAGGGCAAAAGGAAAGGGCUCUGGAGAGCAAGUGGGGACCCUCUGCCCAUCUUGCCAGGGAAGGAGAAGAUAGGCCUGAGGGCCUGCUUGGUGGGACUAGUGAUGGAAGUGGAGGUUUUAGGGGAGAUGGGAAUUGUAUCUGGAGGGCAAAUGCCAGGUGGUGGGAAACCACUUGCCAGGCUGAAAAUCCUGCUGGCUGCAGUGCAGGGGGGGUGAGGCUGAAGAGGUACGUGGCAGUUGGCAGUUGGGGUGAAGGGCCUUGAAUGUAGAGCCAAGAAGCAUGGGCUUUAUCCUGGAAGCAGCAGGGAUCUGUGGAUGGGUUUUAAGCUAGGAAGAUGUUUCAGUUUGGAUUUUCUGGAAGGAGACCCUGAGAGGAGGAUUUGUGUCCAAGUGAUUUGUUAAGAAAGUGCUUAUGGAAGGGAGUAGGGGAAGCAAGAAAGGGACAGGCAAGAGGCCAGGCGAGGAGUGAUCUCACACAAAAGUUCAGAGCCAAAGUUCUGCCUCAGAGCUGGAGGCCACAGAGCUAACUAAGUUCCACAGUCAUUGAUAAACUCCUCCAUUUGACAACCGUUGGUUAAUGUCUGUCUUGGGAAGUGUGGGUGGGGAGGUACUUGAACUUCCGGGCCAAAAAAAUCAGUUUUCAGCUUUUUCAGGCAAAACAGCUCUAUUGGCCUGAGGGGCAGUUCGAUAAAGAAGAGCCUCUGGUGCUGGCUUUUGAAAGCACAUCAAAGGGUGCAACCAUAUUUCCAUACCGAAAAAAAAGAACUCCAGGACACUUGGCAGAGGAAACGUCAAGCUUGUCUCGGGGCCGCGAAGAUGGCCGCAGCAACCAAUGAGCUCCGGCCACGUCACAGACCCCACCCUCCAGCCUGCCGCGGCCUCCGCCACGCGUCGCUGACCCGGAGCUGAAAGCGCUGCGCGGCGCCGGAGUCUGGCGUCACUUCCACUACAGCGAUGGCGGCACAGGCAGCUGCUGCGGCAGUUGCGGCGGCGACUUCAGGGAUCUCGGGGGAGAGCGAGCCCGGGCCCGGGGAGAAUGCGGCAGUCGAGGGAACUGCCCCGUCGUCCCCGGGCCGCGUCUCUCCGCCGACGCCGGCGCGCGGCGAGCCGGAAGUCACCGUGGAGAUCGGAGAAACGUACCUGUGCCGGCGGCCGGAUAGCACCUGGCAUUCUGCUGAAGUGAUCCAGUCUCGAGUGAAUGAUCAGGAGGGCCGAGAGGAAUUCUAUGUACAUUACGUGGGCUUUAACCGGCGACUGGACGAAUGGGUAGACAAGAACCGGCUGGCACUGACCAAGACAGUCAAGGAUGCUGUGCAGAAGAACUCAGAGAAGUACCUGAGUGAGCUGGCUGAGCAGCCUGAGCGCAAGAUCACUCGCAACCAGAAGCGCAAGCAUGAUGAGAUCAACCACGUGCAGAAGACCUAUGCAGAGAUGGACCCCACGACAGCAGCCUUGGAGAAGGAGCAUGAGGCGAUCACCAAGGUGAAGUAUGUGGACAAGAUCCAUAUUGGAAACUAUGAAAUCGAUGCCUGGUACUUCUCGCCAUUCCCUGAAGACUAUGGGAAGCAGCCCAAGCUCUGGCUCUGCGAGUACUGCCUCAAGUAUAUGAAAUAUGAGAAGAGCUACCGCUUCCACUUGGGCCAGUGUCAGUGGCGGCAGCCCCCAGGAAAGGAAAUCUAUCGCAAGAGCAACAUCUCUGUGUACGAGGUGGAUGGCAAAGACCACAAGAUUUACUGUCAGAACCUGUGUCUGCUGGCUAAGCUUUUCCUGGACCACAAGACAUUGUACUUCGACGUGGAACCCUUCGUCUUUUACAUCUUGACUGAGGUGGACAGGCAGGGAGCACACAUCGUCGGCUACUUCUCUAAGGAGAAGGAGUCUCCAGAUGGUAACAACGUGGCCUGCAUCCUGACCCUGCCCCCCUACCAGCGCCGUGGCUACGGAAAGUUCCUCAUUGCUUUCAGAUCCUCAUUUCCAUCACUGCCAGGUUAUGAGCUAUCCAAGCUAGAGAGCACAGUAGGCUCCCCCGAGAAGCCACUGUCUGACUUGGGCAAGCUCAGCUACCGCAGCUACUGGUCUUGGGUCCUGCUGGAGAUCCUGCGAGACUUCCGGGGUACACUGUCUAUCAAGGACCUUAGCCAGAUGACCAGUAUCACCCAGAAUGACAUCAUCAGCACCCUACAGUCCCUCAACAUGGUCAAGUACUGGAAGGGCCAGCAUGUGAUCUGUGUCACACCCAAGCUGGUAGAGGAACACCUCAAAAGUGCCCAAUAUAAGAAACCACCCAUAACAGUGGACUCUGUCUGCCUCAAAUGGGCACCCCCCAAGCACAAGCAAGUCAAACUCUCCAAGAAGUGAGUGGCCCCUGCCUCUGCUGCUGGACCUGUGCCUCCUUGCCCCCUAGCCUGUAAAUAUGUACAGACCUGUUUCAUCAUUUUUUUAAUAAACUGGUACCUUGGGAAGCAAUGAGCAGCCGACAGCACCCACAGCUCAGACAGAAGAGAACCGCCACACACGUGGGUGCCAUCGUAGGUGAUGCUGACCUGCCAGGGCCACUGGCCAGGGGCUGCACUGC
Equus caballus (horse) is the source of this 2940-nucleotide non-coding RNA. The record is from RefSeq and is a predicted model, not a curated record. Lineage: Eukaryota; Metazoa; Chordata; Mammalia; Perissodactyla; Equidae.